GUGAACCUUUACUAUAGCUUGACACUGAACAUUGAGCCUUGAUGUGUAGGAUAGGUGGGAGGCUUUGAAGUGUGGACGCCAGUCUGCAUGGAGCCGACCUUGAAAUACCACCCUUUAAUGUUUGAUGUUCUAACGUUGGCCCGUAAUCCGGGUUGCGGACAGUGUCUGGUGGGUAGUUUGACUGGGGCGGUCUCCUCCUAAAGAGUAACGGAGGAGCACGAAGGUUGGCUAAUCCUGGUCGGACAUCAGGAGGUUAGUGCAAUGGCAUAAGCCAGCUUGACUGCGAGCGUGACGGCGCGAGCAGGUGCGAAAGCAGGUCAUAGUGAUCCGGUGGUUCUGAAUGGAAGGGCCAUCGCUCAACGGAUAAAAGGUACUCCGGGGAUAACAGGCUGAUACCGCCCAAGAGUUCAUAUCGACGGCGGUGUUUGGCACCUCGAUGUCGGCUCAUCACAUCCUGGGGCUGAAGUAGGUCCCAAGGGUAUGGCUGUUCGCCAUUUAAAGUGGUACGCGAGCUGGGUUUAGAACGUCGUGAGACAGUUCGGUCCCUAUCUGCCGUGGGCGCUGGAGAACUGAGGGGGGCUGCUCCUAGUACGAGAGGACCGGAGUGGACGCAUCACUGGUGUUCGGGUUGUCAUGCCAAUGGCACUGCCCGGUAGCUAAAUGCGGAAGAGAUAAGUGCUGAAAGCAUCUAAGCACGAAACUUGC
Molecule: ribosomal RNA, 705 nt
Filed under: Escherichia coli
Lineage: Bacteria; Pseudomonadati; Pseudomonadota; Gammaproteobacteria; Enterobacterales; Enterobacteriaceae
Description: partial 23S ribosomal RNA
Rfam family: Bacterial large subunit ribosomal RNA
Source: RNAcentral